Non-coding RNA from Drosophila melanogaster (fruit fly), 492 nucleotides. The record is from Ensembl. NCBI's taxonomy places the organism in Eukaryota, Metazoa, Arthropoda, Insecta, Diptera, Drosophilidae.
GAGUUUGGAGAACUCGCGCGCGUUUGUAGAAACGAGUCUGAAUAUUUUCCGACAAUUUAGAGUCUAGACUCUGGCAAACCCCCAUCAUCUGUCAACGGCGGCAGAAGAUGAAGCAGAGCUGUAGUUGAUGAAUUGCUACGUGUACUACUGUUUCUAUACACCUGUGUUUCGAGUUGAUAAGAAAAAUCACUCGUGCUGUUUAUGACAUUCACUCCUAUUAUUGUAGAAUUAAUACCACAUUUAUUAUUAUUCCUAUGCAUUACCUUUGAUUUCACCACUCAAGAACUUUGAAUAACCCUGCUUUGAAUAGUCCAUGCAUAUUAAUGUGAAGAUUGUGACCUCUGGCACUUGGUUUACAGUUAUUGGAAAUCACUAAGCUUUGGUCGACUGCCAGUAUUUCGAUUUAAUUAUUAUUAAUGCAAGUGGAAGACGCAACAAUUGAGAGAUGUCAUGAUAUGGAAAGGAUAUUAUUUACCUCACAUGAGAAGCAUU